This 71-nucleotide transfer RNA is filed under the name Myotis davidii. It matches the Rfam family "tRNA". From Rfam's summary of the family: Transfer RNA (tRNA) molecules are approximately 80 nucleotides in length. Lineage: Eukaryota; Metazoa; Chordata; Mammalia; Chiroptera; Vespertilionidae. The record is from Rfam by way of RNAcentral.
GCCCUGGCUCAGUGGUUAGAGCAUCGGCCAGUGGACCGAAGGGUCUGCGGUUCGAUUCCCAGUCAAGGGCA